Molecule: transfer RNA, 86 nt
Filed under: Nitrososphaerota archaeon
Lineage: Archaea; Thermoproteati; Nitrososphaerota
Also listed under: 1 other name
Description: tRNA-Ser
Rfam family: tRNA
About the family: Transfer RNA (tRNA) molecules are approximately 80 nucleotides in length.
Source: RNAcentral
GCCGGGGUCCCAUAGCGGCUAUUGGGGCGGCCUCGAGAGCCGCUGCCCCCUCGGGGGGCGCGCGGGUUCGAGUCCCGCCCCCGGCG